UACGAAGGGGGCGAGCGUUGUUCGGAAUUACUGGGCGUAAAGGGCGCGUAGGCGGCCGAUCAAGUUAGAUGUGAAAGUCCUGGGCUUAACCUGGGGACUGCAUUUGAUACUGAUUGGCUUGAAUUCGGGAGAGGAUAGCGGAAUUCCCAGUGUAGAGGUGAAAUUCGUAGAUAUUGGGAAGAACACCGGUGGCGAAGGCGGCUAUCUGGACCGACAUUGACGCUGAGGCGCGAAAGCGUGGGGGGCAAACAGG
This 253-nucleotide ribosomal RNA is filed under the name uncultured bacterium. RNAcentral describes it as "partial 16S ribosomal RNA". It matches the Rfam family "Bacterial small subunit ribosomal RNA", at positions 524 to 776 of the family's 1533-position model. The record is from RNAcentral.